This 465-nucleotide ribosomal RNA is filed under the name uncultured Klebsiella sp. RNAcentral describes it as "bacterial SSU rRNA". It matches the Rfam family "Bacterial small subunit ribosomal RNA", at positions 338 to 795 of the family's 1533-position model. The record is from RNAcentral. Lineage: Bacteria; Pseudomonadati; Pseudomonadota; Gammaproteobacteria; Enterobacterales; Enterobacteriaceae.
CCUACGGGCGGCUGCAGUGGGGAAUAUUGCACAAUGGGCGCAAGCCUGAUGCAGCCAUGCCGCGUGUGUGAAGAAGGCCUUCGGGUUGUAAAGCACUUUCAGCGGGGAGGAAGGCGUUAAGGUUAAUAACCUUGGCGAUUGACGUUACCCGCAGAAGAAGCACCGGCUAACUCCGUGCCAGCAGCCGCGGUAAUACGGAGGGUGCAAGCGUUAAUCGGAAUUACUGGGCGUAAAGCGCACGCAGGCGGUCGGUCAAGUCGGAUGUGAAAUCCCCGGGCUCAACCUGGGAACUGCAUUCGAAACUGGCAGGCUAGAGGCUUGUAGAGGGGGGUAGAAUUCCAGGUGUAGCGGUGAAAUGCGUAGAGAUCUGGAGGAAUACCGGUGGCGAAGGCGGCCCCCUGGACAAAGACUGACGCUCAGGUGCGAAAGCGUGGGGAGCAAACAGGAUUAGAUACCCCUGUAGUC